UGGGGAAUCUUGGACAAUGGGCGCAAGCCUGAUCCAGCCACGCCGCGUGAGUGAUGAAGGCCUUAGGGUUGUAAAGCUCUUUUGCCGGGGACGAUAAUGACGGUACCCGGAGAAUAAGUCCCGGCUAACUUCGUGCCAGCAGCCGCGGUAAUACGAAGGGGACUAGCGUUGUUCGGAAUCACUGGGCGUAAAGCGCACGUAGGCGGAUUUGUAAGUCAGGGGUGAAAUCCCGGGGCUCAACCUCGGAACUGCCUUUGAUACUGCGGAUCUCGAGUCCGAUAGAGGUGAGUGGAAUUCCUAGUGUAGAGGUGAAAUUCGUAGAUAUUGGGAAGAACACCAGUGGCGAAGGCGGCUAACUGGUCCGGUACUGACGCUGAGGUGCGAAAGCGUGGGGAGCAAACAGGAUUAGAUACCCUAGUAGUCCCUGAGCGGGCUGGCAAGGCGCAU
This 447-nucleotide ribosomal RNA is filed under the name uncultured bacterium. RNAcentral's name for it is "bacterial SSU rRNA". It matches the Rfam family "Bacterial small subunit ribosomal RNA", at positions 355 to 825 of the family's 1533-position model. The record is from RNAcentral.